UGAGUAGACGAAACUUCUUUUAAAAACAUUAAAAAUCUUAGUGGUUCCAAACUUUUGGACUGUACUGUAUAUCAUCUGACAAUCUGUGGUAUUAAUAUUCGUUAUAUAUUAUGUACAGUGUCAUGCAUUCCAAAUGCUUUUUUUAUCUCCAUAAAGCACACAUUUGUGAAAAUUGUAUGUACCUUAAUCCGUGCUGUUGUAGUCUUCUACGAAUGGUUCACUCAGAUACUCCUAGCAGGCACACAAGCUGGACACAUUAGUAACCACAUACAACGUAGUAGGCUACUUAAUCGUCUCUGGUGGUAUGUCCAUCAAAGGACAUCCUGGUCUUUUAGUUGUUCUGUCCCUCACAAAAAGCAUGACUUCUGAGUAAGAGGAAAUCUGUGGAGUAUGAACUGUUGUCAACUUGCUACGUGAGCAUCAUAAGUUCCUCCACAAUUUCUGUGUCUACACCAACCAGAACUGGUGUACGGACACCAAAAUUCUGUCACGCAACUGUUCACCGGACCUGGAGUAUCUCACAGUUAAGUGUAUUCCCUUUUACUCGCCAAGAGAAAUCUCCUCCGUCAUACUGUGCGUUGUUUACAUUCCACCGAGCGCUGCGAUGACACCAGCAACACAGCAAUUGGCUGAUCACAUCUCCGCGGUGGAAAACUCCAACCCAGACUCUGCAAUCCUGGUGUUAGGAGAUUUUAACCACGUCACUAUGAAGAAAGCUCUUCCCAGAUACAAGCCCCGGAUUCAUAUUCCCACAAGGCUGGAUAAAACACUGGACCAGUGUUACUCCUCCAUUCCAUUCUCUAAUCAGAGCUCCAAUUGAUGAUACCACUGUAGUAGGUCUUAUCUCUGAUGGGGAUGAAUCUAUGUACCGGGACGAAGUGGAACAGCUGGUCAGGUGGUGCGAAGACAAUAACCUAAUCCUCAAUACAUCUAAGACCAAAGAGAUGAUAGUGGACUUUAGAAAGAAGACAGUCCAGUAUCUUCCCCUCUCCAUCAAUGGUCAGGUUGUUGAGAGGGUCUCCUCCUGCUUCUUGGGCACUACCAUACACCAGUCCCUUUCAUGGGACCUGAAUAUUAGUCUCAUUGUAGGCAAAACUCAUCAGAGACUCUUUUUUCCUCCGUCAGUUGAGGAAAUUUGGGGUUAGCCAGGAAGGCAUGACUCAUUUCUAUCGAGCCGUCAUAGAAAGCGUGCUGACCUUCUCUAUCCUGUCCUGGUACGGGAAUGCGACCAGCCAGGAUAAGCACCAGCUAGAGAAAGUAGUGUGCAGAGCCUCCAAGAUCAUUGGCUGCAGUCUGCCUACCAUAGCCUCACAUUACGUCACCAGAAUUAUUAGGAAGGUGGGAAACAUCACCAACGACCCCUACCACCCAGCACAUCACCUGUUCAGUCUUCUGCCAUCAGGGAAGAGGUACAGAAGCAUCACCAGCAGAACAUCACGCUUCAGAGAUAGCACUUAUCUCCAAGCUAUACGAUAUUUAAACAUGGCUUGAUGCUUGAAUGUUUGAUUUAGGUUAUAAACUUGUGGACUGAUUUCUGGCUGUGUUGCUUGCACUAAGCACUUUAUGGUCUGGUCUAUAACCAGUUGACACACUUAAUGUGCAAUAUGUGUUGUUCAUGUCUGUGUAUAUGUGUGUGCUGUGCCAGUGCAUUGUUGUUAACUAUGUGAGCAUACCAAGACAAAUUCCUAUCCACUGUAUUGUUGAAAUGGCUAAAUAAACUUGACCUUGACCUUA
This is a long non-coding RNA of Megalobrama amblycephala (Wuchang bream), 1734 nucleotides long. RefSeq lists it as uncharacterized. The record is from RefSeq and is a predicted model, not a curated record. NCBI's taxonomy places the organism in Eukaryota, Metazoa, Chordata, Actinopteri, Cypriniformes, Xenocyprididae. The transcript has 2 exons.